GCUCGUGUCGUGAGAUGUUCGGUUAAGUCCGGCAACGAGCGCAACCCACAUCCCUAGUUGCCAGCAGUUCGGCUGGGCACUCUAUGGAAACUGCCCGUGAUAAGCGGGAGGAAGGUGUGGAUGACGUCAAGUCCUCAUGGCCCUUACGGGUUGGGCUACACACGUGCUACAAUGGCAGUGACAAUGGGUUAAUCCCCAAAAGCUGUCUCAGUUCGGAUUGGGGUCUGCAACUCGACCCCAUGAAGUCGGAAUCGCUAGUAAUCGUGGAACAGCAUGCCACGUCGAAUACGUUCCGGCCUU
This 300-nucleotide ribosomal RNA is filed under the name uncultured bacterium. Its description in RNAcentral is "bacterial SSU rRNA". It matches the Rfam family "Bacterial small subunit ribosomal RNA", at positions 1058 to 1374 of the family's 1533-position model. The record is from RNAcentral.